This 21-nucleotide non-coding RNA is filed under the name Arabidopsis thaliana (thale cress). Lineage: Eukaryota; Viridiplantae; Streptophyta; Magnoliopsida; Brassicales; Brassicaceae. The record is from RNAcentral.
CCAGUGGUCUAGUGGUAGAAU